ACGACGAUUAAUAUUGUCGGAGAACAGGAUCCGUAUUCCGGCCGGAAUCAACGAACGAGAUCCGUAUUCCGCCGCACAAGUUUCUGGCUUGGCAAGAUUGAAACUCAUCCCUCGAAAAAUAUGAGGUAUUCUUUUUCCUAAUAAAUUGGAUGAAUUACUUGAUGAAUUGUUUUCCUUGAAUUGGGCGGCGGAGAAGAACGGUGGUGAGAGGUUUUGCUUUUAUUUUUUAUUUUUUUAGUUUGUAUAUAUUUUGAUUUGUAUAUAUUUACUGCAUUUAUAUGAUGAAAAUUAAUCUUU
This is a non-coding RNA of Erythranthe guttata (spotted monkey flower), 297 nucleotides long. The record is from RefSeq and is a predicted model, not a curated record. NCBI's taxonomy places the organism in Eukaryota, Viridiplantae, Streptophyta, Magnoliopsida, Lamiales, Phrymaceae.